AAACUGGAGAGUUUGAUCCUGGCUCAGAUUGAACGCUGGCGGCGUGCUUAACACAUGCAAGUCGAACGAGAAAGUUCCCUUCGGGGGGU
Molecule: ribosomal RNA, 89 nt
Filed under: Desulfobulbaceae bacterium
Lineage: Bacteria; Pseudomonadati; Thermodesulfobacteriota; Desulfobulbia; Desulfobulbales; Desulfobulbaceae
Description: partial 16S ribosomal RNA
Rfam family: Bacterial small subunit ribosomal RNA
Source: RNAcentral